RNAcentral lists this ribosomal RNA (265 nucleotides) under uncultured bacterium. RNAcentral's name for it is "partial 16S ribosomal RNA". It matches the Rfam family "Bacterial small subunit ribosomal RNA", at positions 88 to 354 of the family's 1533-position model. The record is from RNAcentral.
CCGGCGACCGGCGCACGGGUGAGUAACACGUAUGCAACCUGCCCUCUUCAGGGGGACAACCUUCCGAAAGGGAGGCUAAUCCCGCGUAUAUCGGUUUCGGGCAUCCGAGAUCGAGGAAAGACUCAUCGGAAGAGGAUGGGCAUGCGGCGCAUUAGCUAGACGGCGGGGUAACGGCCCACCGUGGCGACGAUGCGUAGGGGUUCUGAGAGGAAGGUCCCCCACACUGGUACUGAGACACGGACCAGACUCCUACGGAAGGCAGCAG